RNAcentral lists this ribosomal RNA (251 nucleotides) under uncultured bacterium. RNAcentral describes it as "partial 16S ribosomal RNA". It matches the Rfam family "Bacterial small subunit ribosomal RNA", at positions 8 to 253 of the family's 1533-position model. The record is from RNAcentral.
AGAGUUUGAUCAUGGCUCGGGAUGAACGCUAGCGGCAGGCUUAACACAUGCAAGUCGAGGGGCAGCGGGGUGUAGCAAUACACUGCCGGCGACCGGCGCACGGGUGCGUAACGCGUAUGCAACCUACCCAUAACGAGGGGCAUAACACUGAGAAAUUGGUACUAAUUCCCCAUAACAUUCGAAGAGGCAUCUCUUUGGGUUAGAAAACUCCGGUGGUUAUGGAUGGGCAUGCGUUGUAUUAGCUAGUUGGG